GCGGGUGUGGCGGAAUGGCAGACGCUACGGUCUUAAAAACCGUUGGAGAGAUCCGUGCGGGUUCGAGUCCCGCCGCCCGCA
Molecule: transfer RNA, 81 nt
Filed under: Chloroflexia bacterium
Lineage: Bacteria; Bacillati; Chloroflexota; Chloroflexia
Description: tRNA-Leu
Rfam family: tRNA
About the family: Transfer RNA (tRNA) molecules are approximately 80 nucleotides in length.
Source: RNAcentral